RNAcentral lists this ribosomal RNA (250 nucleotides) under uncultured bacterium. RNAcentral's name for it is "partial 16S ribosomal RNA". It matches the Rfam family "Bacterial small subunit ribosomal RNA", at positions 15 to 258 of the family's 1533-position model. The record is from RNAcentral.
GAUCCUGGCUCAGAUUGAACGCUGGCGGCAGGCCUAACACAUGCAAGUCGAACGGUAACAGGAAACAGCUUGCUGUUUCGCUGACGAGUGGCGGACGGGUGAGUAAUGUCUGGGAAACUGCCUGAUGGAGGGGGAUAACUACUGGAAACGGUAGCUAAUACCGCAUAAUGUCGCAAGACCAAAGAGGGGGACCUUCGGGCCGUCUUGCCAUCGGAUGUGCCCACGAUGGGAGUUAGCUAGUAGGUAGGGG